RNAcentral lists this unclassified non-coding RNA (216 nucleotides) under Glomeraceae sp. RNAcentral's name for it is "partial contains 5.8S ribosomal RNA and internal transcribed spacer 2". The stretch from base 1 to 71 matches the Rfam family "5.8S ribosomal RNA", at positions 84 to 154 of the family's 154-position model. Lineage: Eukaryota; Fungi; Glomeromycota; Glomeromycetes; Glomerales; Glomeraceae. The record is from RNAcentral.
GUGAAUCAUCGAAUUUUUGAACGCAAAUUGCACUCCCUGGUAUUCCGGGGAGUAUGCCUGUUUGAGGGUCGUUAGAACAAAAAUCGAAGCGUCGCUCUUGUGUUUUUAAGGGGGAUCGGGGCGGAAUUGAGCCGUCAUACAAAUGGUAAUUCAUGUAAAAGUGGCGGGAAAUACAACAAUCCGGGACGAUUAAAGAGUAUUAAAGAUCAAAUAUGA